RNAcentral lists this ribosomal RNA (604 nucleotides) under Sulabanus sp. UPOL A00075. Its description in RNAcentral is "partial 16S ribosomal RNA". It matches the Rfam family "Bacterial large subunit ribosomal RNA", at positions 1816 to 2714 of the family's 2925-position model. The record is from RNAcentral. Lineage: Eukaryota; Metazoa; Arthropoda; Insecta; Coleoptera; Lycidae. RNAcentral also lists the same sequence under 1 other name.
CAUGUCCUUUUGAUAAUAAUUUAAGGUCUAAUCUGCUCAAUGAUAUAUAAAUUGCCGCAGUAUUUUGACUGUGCAAAGGUAGCAAAAUAAUUAGUUUCUUGAUUAGGAACUGGGAUGAAUGAUUGGACAAGAAAGUUUCUGUCUCUUUUUUAAUUAUUUUUGAAUUUUAUUUUUAAGUGAAAAAGCUUAGAUUAUUAUAAAAGACGAGAAGACCCUAUAGAGUUUAAUAAUUUUAUUUAAUAAAUUUUUAGGAUAAAUAUAUUAUAAUAAAUUAUUUGAUUGGGGUGAUUCGAAAAUAUAAUGAAUUUUUUGUUAAUUUAGUUAAUAAUUUUUAAUUUUUUUAUUUAGGUUAUUAAAUUAAAAAUAAAUUACCUUAGGGAUAACAGCGUAAUUUUUCUUGAAAGUUCUUAUUUAAAGGAAAGUUUGCGACCUCGAUGUUGGAUUAAAAUUAAUUUUUGGUGCAGUAACUUAAAAAUUAGGUCUGUUCGACCUUUAAAAUUUUACAUGAUCUGAGUUUAAACCGGUGUGAGCCAGGUUGGAUUCUAUCUUUAGAAAAUUAAAUAUAUUUUAGUACGAAAGGACCAAAUAUAAAUUAAAUUAAUUG